UACGUAGGUCCCGAGCGUUGUCCGGAUUUAUUGGGCGUAAAGCGAGCGCAGGCGGUUUGAUAAGUCUGAAGUUCAAGGCUGUGGCUCAACCAUAGUUCGCUUUGGAAACUGUCAAACUUGAGUGCAGAAGGGGAGAGUGGAAUUCCAUGUGUAGCGGUGAAAUGCGUAGAUAUAUGGAGGAACACCGGUGGCGAAAGCGGCUCUCUGGUCUGUAACUGACGCUGAGGCUCGAAAGCGUGGGGAGCGAACAGGAUUAGAUACCCUGGUAGUCCACGCCGUAAACGAUGAGUGCUAGGUGUUGGAUCCUUUCCGGGAUUCAGUGCCGAAGCUAACGCAUUAAGCACUCCGCCUGGGGAGUACGACCGCAAGGUUGAA
This 375-nucleotide ribosomal RNA is filed under the name uncultured bacterium. Its description in RNAcentral is "bacterial SSU rRNA". It matches the Rfam family "Bacterial small subunit ribosomal RNA", at positions 524 to 898 of the family's 1533-position model. The record is from RNAcentral.